RNAcentral lists this ribosomal RNA (91 nucleotides) under Escherichia coli. Its description in RNAcentral is "partial 16S ribosomal RNA". It matches the Rfam family "Bacterial small subunit ribosomal RNA", at positions 1 to 89 of the family's 1533-position model. The record is from RNAcentral. Lineage: Bacteria; Pseudomonadati; Pseudomonadota; Gammaproteobacteria; Enterobacterales; Enterobacteriaceae.
UUAAAUUGAAGAGUUUGAUCAUGGCUCAGAUUGAACGCUGGCGGCAGGCCUAACACAUGCAAGUCGAACGGUAACAGGAAGUAGCUUGCUG